GUUUGAUCAUGGCUCAGGACGAACGCUGGCGGCGUGCUUAACACAUGCAAGUCGAACGAUGAACCACUUCGGUGGGGAUUAGUGGCGAACGGGUGAGUAACACGUGGGCAAUCUGCCCUGCACUCUGGGACAAGCCCUGGAAACGGGGUCUAAUACCGGAUAACACUUCGGGCCUCAUGGUCUGUGGUUAAAAGCUCCGGCGGUGCAGGAUGAGCCCGCGGCCUAUCAGCUUGUUGGUGAGGUAAUGGCUCACCAAGGCGACGACGGGUAGCCGGCCUGAGAGGGCGACCGGCCACACUGGGACUGAGACACGGCCCAGACUCCUACGGGAGGCAGCAGUGGGGAAUAUUGCACAAUGGGCGAAAGCCUGAUGCAGCGACGCCGCGUGAGGGAUGACGGCCUUCGGGUUGUAAACCUCUUUCAGCAG
RNAcentral lists this ribosomal RNA (427 nucleotides) under Streptomyces seoulensis. RNAcentral describes it as "bacterial SSU rRNA". It matches the Rfam family "Bacterial small subunit ribosomal RNA", at positions 11 to 442 of the family's 1533-position model. The record is from RNAcentral. Lineage: Bacteria; Bacillati; Actinomycetota; Actinomycetes; Kitasatosporales; Streptomycetaceae.